GGAUGAACGCUGGCGGCGUGCUUAACACAUGCAAGUCGAACGGGAAACAUUUUAUUGAAGCUUCGGCAGAUUUAGAUUGUUUCUAGUGGCGGACGGGUGAGUAACGCGUGGGUAACCUGCCUUAUACCGGGGGAUAACAGCCAGAAAUGACUGCUAAUACCGCAUAAGCGCACAGAACCGCAUGGUUCCGUGUGAAAAACUCCGGUGGUAUAAGAUGGACCCGCGUUGGAUUAGCUAGUUGGCAGGGCAGCGGCCUACCAAGGCGACGAUCCAUAGCCGGCCUGAGAGGGUGAACGGCCACAUUGGGACUGAGACACGGCCCAGACUCCUACGGGAGGCAGCAGUGGGGAAUAUUGCACAAUGGGGGAAACCCUGAUGCAGCGACGCCGCGUGAAGGAAGAAGUAUCUCGGUAUGUAAACUUCUAUCAGCAGGGAAGAUAAUGACGGUACCUGACUAAGAAGCCCCGGCUAACUACGUGCCAGCAGCCGCGGUAAUACGUAGGGGGCAAGCGUUAUCCGGAUUUACUGGGUGUAAAGGGAGCGUAGACGGCGCAGCAAGUCUGAUGUGAAAGGCAGGGGCUUAACCCCUGGACUGCAUUGGAAACUGCUGUGCUUGAGUGCCGGAGGGGUAAGCGGAAUUCCUAGUGUAGCGGUGAAAUGCGUAGAUAUUAGGAGGAACACCAGUGGCGAAGGCGGCUUACUGGACGGUAACUGACGUUGAGGCUCGAAGCGUGGGGAGCAAACAGGAUUAGAUA
RNAcentral lists this ribosomal RNA (755 nucleotides) under uncultured Lachnospiraceae bacterium. Its description in RNAcentral is "bacterial SSU rRNA". It matches the Rfam family "Bacterial small subunit ribosomal RNA", at positions 27 to 784 of the family's 1533-position model. The record is from RNAcentral. Lineage: Bacteria; Bacillati; Bacillota; Clostridia; Lachnospirales; Lachnospiraceae.